This 29-nucleotide non-coding RNA is filed under the name Bombyx mori (domestic silkworm). The record is from RNAcentral. Lineage: Eukaryota; Metazoa; Arthropoda; Insecta; Lepidoptera; Bombycidae.
UGACAUUAGUAUAUGUUUUGUGUGUAGGU